This 253-nucleotide ribosomal RNA is filed under the name uncultured bacterium. RNAcentral's name for it is "partial 16S ribosomal RNA". It matches the Rfam family "Bacterial small subunit ribosomal RNA", at positions 524 to 776 of the family's 1533-position model. The record is from RNAcentral.
UACGGGGGGGGCAAGCGUUGUUCGGAAUUACUGGGCGUAAAGGGCUCGUAGGCGGCCAACUAAGUCAGACGUGAAAUCCCCAGGCUCAACCUGGGAACUGCGUCUGAUACUGGAUGGCUUGAAUCCGGGAGAGGGAUGCGGAAUUCCAGGUGUAGCGGUGAAAUGCGUAGAUAUCGGAAGGAACAUCAGUGGCGAAAGCGGCUUCCUGGUCCAGCACCGACGUUCAGGCACGAAAGCGUGGGGAGCAAACAGG